This 253-nucleotide ribosomal RNA is filed under the name uncultured bacterium. Its description in RNAcentral is "partial 16S ribosomal RNA". It matches the Rfam family "Bacterial small subunit ribosomal RNA", at positions 524 to 776 of the family's 1533-position model. The record is from RNAcentral.
UACGAGGGGGGCAAGUGUUGUUCGGAAUCACUGGGCGUAAAGGGAGCGUAGGCGGGUUCUUAAGUAAGGUGUUUAAUCCCGGGGCCCAACCCCGGACCGGCACUUUAAACUGGGAAUCUUGAAUAGUGGAGAGGUCGGUGGAAUUGGGGGUGUAGCGGUGGAAUGCGUAGAGAUCCCCAAGAACACCAGUUGCGAAGGCGGCCGACUGGACACAUAUUGACGCUGAGGCUCGAAAGCAUGGGGAGCAAACAGG